Molecule: transfer RNA, 73 nt
Filed under: Stegodyphus mimosarum
Lineage: Eukaryota; Metazoa; Arthropoda; Arachnida; Araneae; Eresidae
Rfam family: tRNA
About the family: Transfer RNA (tRNA) molecules are approximately 80 nucleotides in length.
Source: Rfam by way of RNAcentral
GCCUUCGUGGUGUAGUGGUCAGCAUGCUCGUUGUGUAACUGAGAGGUCCGUGGUUCGAUUCCCGGCGAAGGCG